RNAcentral lists this transfer RNA (76 nucleotides) under Actinomycetota bacterium. Its description in RNAcentral is "tRNA-Thr". It matches the Rfam family "tRNA". Rfam says of the family: Transfer RNA (tRNA) molecules are approximately 80 nucleotides in length. Their secondary structure includes four short double-helical elements and three loops (D, anti-codon, and T loops). RNAcentral also lists the same sequence under 2 other names. Lineage: Bacteria; Bacillati; Actinomycetota. The record is from RNAcentral.
GCCCAGAUAGCUCAGUCGGUAGAGCAUUUCACUCGUAAUGAAAAGGUCGAGGGUUCGAUUCCCUCUCUGGGCUCCA